Molecule: ribosomal RNA, 256 nt
Filed under: uncultured bacterium
Lineage: Bacteria
Description: partial 16S ribosomal RNA
Rfam family: Bacterial small subunit ribosomal RNA
Source: RNAcentral
UAAGACGUAGGGGGCGAGCGUUGUCCGGAAUUACUGGGCGUAAAGAGCACGUAGGCGGGAACUUAAGUCAGGUGUGAAAGACCGGGGCUCAACUCCGGGGUUGCACUUGAAACUGGGUUUCUUGAGGGCAGGAGAGGAAAGCAGAAUUCCUGGUGUAGCGGUGAAAUGCGUAGAAAUCAGGAGGAAUACCAGUGGCGAAGGCGGCUUUCUGGACUGACCCUGACGCUGAGGUGCGAAAGCGUGGGUAGCAAACAGG